This 274-nucleotide ribosomal RNA is filed under the name uncultured bacterium. Its description in RNAcentral is "partial 16S ribosomal RNA". It matches the Rfam family "Bacterial small subunit ribosomal RNA", at positions 523 to 796 of the family's 1533-position model. The record is from RNAcentral.
AUACGGAGGGAACUAGCGUUGUUCGGAAUUACUGGGCGUAAAGCGCGCGUAGGCGGUACAAUAAGUCAGGGGUGAAAUCCCGGGGCUCAACCCCGGAACUGCCCUUGAAACUAUUGAACUAGAAUAUCGGAGAGGUAAGUGGAAUUCCGAGUGUAGAGGUGAAAUUCGUAGAUAUUCGGAAGAACACCAGUGGCGAAGGCGACUUACUGGACGAUGAUUGACGCUGAGGUGCGAAAGCGUGGGGAGCAAACAGGAUUAGAUACCCUAGUAGUCC